CGAAGACCCCAACGAACUCUUGUACCUUGCAGUCUGAGCGAUAAGCAUAAAUUAUUAAAACUUUCAACAACGGAUCUCUUGGUUCCGGCAUCGAUGAAGAACGCAGCGAAAUGCGAUAAGUAAUGUGAAUUGCAGAAUUCAGUGAAUCAUCGAGUCUUUGAACGCACAUUGCGCCCCCUGGUAUUCCGGGGGGCAUGCCUGUCCGAGCGUCAUUACUGCCCUCAAGCCCGGCUUGUGUGUUGGGCGCCGC
RNAcentral lists this ribosomal RNA (250 nucleotides) under Penicillium charlesii. RNAcentral's name for it is "5.8S ribosomal RNA". The stretch from base 59 to 212 matches the Rfam family "5.8S ribosomal RNA". Rfam says of the family: 5.8S ribosomal RNA (5.8S rRNA) is a component of the large subunit of the eukaryotic ribosome. It is transcribed by RNA polymerase I as part of the 45S precursor that also contains 18S and 28S rRNA. The record is from RNAcentral. Lineage: Eukaryota; Fungi; Ascomycota; Eurotiomycetes; Eurotiales; Aspergillaceae.